GACGAACGCUGGCGGCGUGCUUAACACAUGCAAGUCGAACGAAGAGCGAUGGAAGCUUGCUUCUCUCAAUCUUAGUGGCGAACGGGUGAGUAACGCGUAAUCAACCUGCCCUUCAGAGGGGGACAACAGUUGGAAACGACUGCUAAUACCGCAUACGAUCUGACCUCGGCAUCGAGGAUAGAUGAAAGGUGGCCUCUACAUGUAAGCUAUCACUGAAGGAGGGGAUUGCGUCUGAUUAGCUAGUUGGAGGGGUAACGGCCCACCAAGGCGAUGAUCAGUAGCCGGUCUGAGAGGAUGAACGGCCACAUUGGGACUGAGACACGGCCCAGACUCCUACGGGAGGCAGCAGUGGGGAAUCUUCCGCAAUGGACGAAAGUCUGACGGAGCAACGCCGCGUGAGUGAUGACGGCCUUCGGGUUGUAAAGCUCUGUUAAUCGGGACGAAAGGCCUUUUUGCGAAUAGUGAGAAGGAUUGACGGUACCGGAAUAGAAAGCCACGGCUAACUACGUG
RNAcentral lists this ribosomal RNA (510 nucleotides) under uncultured bacterium. Its description in RNAcentral is "partial 16S ribosomal RNA". It matches the Rfam family "Bacterial small subunit ribosomal RNA", at positions 28 to 507 of the family's 1533-position model. The record is from RNAcentral.